UCCCAUAUGGUCUAGUGGUCAGGAUUCCUGGUUUUCAGCCAGGUGGCCUGGGUUCAAUUCCCAGUGUGGGAA
This 72-nucleotide transfer RNA is filed under the name Chrysemys picta bellii (western painted turtle). RNAcentral's name for it is "tRNA-Glu (TTC) (tRNA-Glu-TTC-9-1)". It matches the Rfam family "tRNA". Rfam says of the family: Transfer RNA (tRNA) molecules are approximately 80 nucleotides in length. Their secondary structure includes four short double-helical elements and three loops (D, anti-codon, and T loops). Lineage: Eukaryota; Metazoa; Chordata; Testudines; Emydidae. The record is from Rfam by way of RNAcentral.